GAAGCCGUUUGGCUUCAAACGAAUGAAUAGGUUAGCUGAAUAGGGAUGCGAGGGAGGGGUUGCCAUGUUUAUAAUUAUUAUUAUUAAUUUCUAUAAUCACAUCGACAGCGGAAGAGUAAUUGAAGGUGAAGAAAGAAAGCAUUGGAUUGGGUUUGAGUGUGUAGGAGUUCGAAUUAGUUGGAGAAUGCGAAAAUUAGAUUUAGAAAGAUGGAACGGAAUAGAUAGAUAGAUAGUUAAAUAGAUAGGUAGAUGGCGAAAUCGGAGAAUAAGAAUAUGGGAUCAACAUCUGCUUCGGCAAAAGUUCACCCUGCCAAUGAUCCCGAACUGGAUCCCGACGCUUACGCCCUUGAGAAGUUCAGACUCUACGAAACUAGAGCGAGGUUUUACCUGAUCGGGAGUGAUCGGAACAAGAGGUUCUUCCGUGUGCUGAAAAUUGAUCGAUCAGAACCUUCCGAUCUGAAUAUCAGCCAAGACCCGGUGUUGUAUUCAACCCAGGAAAUCAAGAGCUUGCUUCAGCGAAUUGGCGAAGGUAACAGGGCCACCGGAGGCCUCACUUUUGUCGCUAAGGUUUUUGGGAUUGCCGGUUGCAUCAAGUUUCUCGAGUCCUACUAUUUGAUUCUUGUUACUAAGCGCAGACAAAUUGGUUCUAUUUGUGGCCAUGCAAUCUAUAGCAUUAAGGAGAGCCAAUUGAUAACCAUUCCACAUGUUUCAAUUCAAUCUGAUAUAGCUCAUUCUAAGACUGAGCUCAGGUACAAAAAGCUUUUGUCUAGUGUUGAUUUGACCAAGGAUUUUUUCUUUAGUUACACUUACCCUAUAAUGCAAAGUUUGCAAACAAACGUCUCGUCCAAUCAAGAGGGAGGGAUGUCUUAUGAUAAUAUAUUUGUUUGGAAUGCCUAUUUGACGCAAGCAAUCAGAUCAAGAUGCAAUAACACCAUUUGGACCAUAGCUUUAGUUCAUGGCCAUUUUAGGCAGAUUCGUCUAUCAAUCUUUGGGAGGGAUUUCAGUGUUUCCUUGAUUUCUAGACGAUCAAGACAUUUUGCAGGGACACGUUACUUAAAAAGAGGAGUGAAUGAUCGGGGAAGGGUUGCUAAUGAUGUUGAGACAGAGCAGAUUGUCCUUGAUGAAGAAGCUGGCUCUUGCAAGGGAAAAAUGAGUUCAGUUGUGCAAAUGCGAGGAUCUAUACCCCUUUUCUGGUCACAAGAAGCAUCAAGAUUUAGCCCUAAGCCUGACAUAAUCUUGCAAAGGUAUGAUCCCACAUACCAGGCAACGAAAUUGCAUUUUGAAGACCUUGCUAAGAGAUAUGGCAAUCCAAUUAUUGUUCUUAAUUUGAUUAAGACAGUUGAGAAACGGCCUCGAGAAAUGAUGCUGAGGCGUGAAUUUGCAAAUGCUGUUGGGUAUCUGAACCAAAUUCUGCCAGUAGAGAACCAUCUUAGAUUUAUUCACUGGGACUUUCACAAAUUUGCAAAGAGCAAGUCUGCCAAUGUUUUGGCAGUUUUAGGAGCUGUAGCAAGUGAAGCACUUGAUUUAACUGGUUUUUACUACAGUGGUAAACCCAGCAUCAUAAAGAGGGCCAACAAGAGCAAUCGAACGAGCACAGGAAGGGAUACUUCACUGAGAGAUCUGAGAGCUAGUUCUGGGGAUCUUGCAAGGGCUGGGAACAAUAAUGAAAUGAUAAAUUCUGUGGUUACUAGAGACAGGGAGACUGACAUGAACCAUCAGAACAAAAAAGAUAAUUUUAGUAGUGAUGCACCAUAUUUUCAGAGUGGAGUUCUCCGUACCAACUGCAUUGACUGCUUGGACCGUACAAAUGUUGCCCAGUAUGCUUAUGGUCUUCAAGCUUUAGGACGCCAGCUCCAUGCAAUGGGUUUGACUGAUGUGCCUAAAGUGGAUCCUGAUAGUAGUAUUGCUGCAGCUCUAAUGGAUAUGUAUCAAAGUAUGGGAGAUGCUCUUGCCCACCAGUAUGGUGGUUCUGCAGCUCAUAAUACAGUGUUUCCAGAGAGGCAGGGAAAGUGGAGAGCAACAACACAAUCAAGAGAGUUUAUAAAAUCAAUAAAACGAUACUAUAGCAAUGCUUACACAGAUGGUGAAAAACAAGAUGCAAUAAACUUAUUUUUAGGUUACUUCCAACCACAAGAAGGGAAACCUGCUCUCUGGGAGCUGGAUUCAGAUUAUUAUCUCCACGUAUCUGGGAUUGGGGAUGAUAUAAUCCCUGAGAAGUGUUCUGAACUGAAUCUUAAGCCUUCUGGAAGAGGUGGAAUGGUCUUCACCCCUAUACCAGCUUGCAGAGAAGACUUCUCACGGAUAAAGUUGACAUCAUUUGACAAGUUAAUUGAAAAGACCUGUAGUACAAUUAAAGAUGUAAGACUCUGCUGUGAACCUGAUCAGAGGCCAGCGGGUGGUUCUGGAAACAGCGGUGUAGCACCUGACGCAGCUGAGAUACAGCUUAAAAGCCCAAAUUGGCUUUUUGGCCAGAGAAAGUAUGAAGAGGGUUCCUCGGCUGCAAAAGUUGCUUCUCAUGAAACUGAUGUCGAAGGAUCUCAAGCUAAUGGCUUUUGCGACUUGAAUUGGCUUUCUUCUGGCAAUGAUUUGGAUGAUGAGGACAUUUUCCAAAGUGAUUUAUUUAACUUUAGGCAGAGUUGAGCAAUGCUGAUUAACAGACCAAACUUAGUGCAUUUGGAUCUGAUCUGUUAAGUAGAGCUACAGCCGUUAAUAUUUUCAAGGCCACAGAAAAUUCUGAACUUCGAUAAUGUUCUGUGACUAGCAAUAACCAUGUUUCAGUUGGUUUAAAUUAUGAAGGUACCUCACAAUUACCUCAGCAAACGAGGCCAACGGUUGGUAUGGAGGUACUCUCCUUGGUGAUCAAGAUGAAAGCAGUGAGAUAUAUAAACAUUAUGCUGAGUUAUGUCAGGGACCUGCCUUGGAACUUUUCCAAAACGACACAGAGAGGGAACAACACUAUGCGGAUGCUUUAAGUUUGAGUUCCUUUGAAAUUGUUAAUGAUGCUGCCGUUGCAGCAGAAAUGGAAGCAUCUCUAAAGGAGUAUGACCAAGUCGGUUCUGACCUUGGGAUCAUUCCCACAUCUUGUAAAUUCUUUGCUGAUGAUCCAAGCUGGUUGACGAGAUGGUUAACUGGGGAAGAAAAAGUACCAAGGAUAUGAUAAGUUAUUGUUUUGACAUGUAUAAUUGAAACGCUUAUUUUUGUACUAUUCAACUUUAUUUUAGUUCCUUAUACAAAGUAUGCGCCAGUUUUUU
Abrus precatorius (Indian licorice) is the source of this 3251-nucleotide RNA transcript. It is a transcript of the gene named phosphoinositide phosphatase SAC1, with no coding region annotated. The record is from RefSeq and is a predicted model, not a curated record. The transcript has 17 exons. Lineage: Eukaryota; Viridiplantae; Streptophyta; Magnoliopsida; Fabales; Fabaceae.